UGGUAUUUGGGGGAGAGGAGAGAGGGAUAGAGAGAAGUAGAAAAGAGGGAAGAGGUCAGGUAGGUCACAUGGAGGGAGAGAAAAGGAGAGGGAUAGAGAGAAGUAGAAAAGAGGGAAGAGGUCAGGUAGGUCACAUGGAGGGAGAGAAAAGGAGAGGGAUAGAGAGAAGUAGAAAAGAGGGAAGAGGUCAGGUAGGUCACAUGGAGGGAGAGAAAAGGAGAGGGAUAGAGAGAAGUAGAAAAGAGGGAAGAGGUCAGGUAGGUCACAUGGAGGGAGAGAAAAGGAGAGGGAUAGAAAGAAGUAGAAAAGAGGGAAGAGGUCAGGUAGGUCACAUGGAGGGAGAGAAAAGGAGAGGGAUAGAGAGAAGUAGAAAAGAGGUCAGGUAGGUCACAUGGAGGGAGAGAAAAGGCGAGGGAUAGAGAGAAGUAGAAAAGAGGGAAGAGGUCAGGUAGGUCACAUGGAGGGAGAGAAAAGGCGAGGGAUAGAGAGAAGUAGAAAAGAGGGAAGAGGUCAGGUAGGUCACAUGGAGGGAGAGAAAAGGAGAGGGAUAGAGAGAAGUAGAAAAGAGGGAAGAGGUCAGGUAGGUCACAUGGAGGGAGAGAAAAGGAGAGGGAUAGAGAGAAGUAGAAAAGAGGGAAGAGGUCAGGUAGGUCACAUGGAGGGAGAGAAGGAGAGGGAUAGAGAGAAGUAGAAAAGAGGGAAGAGGUCAGGUAGGUCACAUGGAGGGAGAGAAAAGGAGAGGGAUAGAGAGAAGUAGAAAAGAGGGAAGAGGUCAGGUAGGUCACAUGGAGGGAGAGAAGGAGAGGGAUAGAGAGAAGUAGAAAAGAGGGAAGAGGUCAGGUAGGUCACAUGGAGGGAGAGAAAAGGAGAGGGAUAGAGAGAAGUAGAAAAGAGGGAAGAGGUCAGGUAGGUCACAUAGAGGGAGAGAAAAGGAGAGGGAUAGAGAGAAAUAGAAAAGAGGGAAGAGGUCAGGGAGGUCACAUGGAGGGAGAGAAAAGGAGAGGGAUAGAGAGAAAUAGAAAAGAGGGAAGAGGUCAGGGAGGUCACAUGGAGGGAGA
Oncorhynchus keta (chum salmon) is the source of this 1058-nucleotide long non-coding RNA. RefSeq lists it as uncharacterized. Lineage: Eukaryota; Metazoa; Chordata; Actinopteri; Salmoniformes; Salmonidae. The record is from RefSeq and is a predicted model, not a curated record. The transcript has 3 exons.